AGGAACUAAGCCACCGAAAGGUGGUCUAAUACUUCAUAAUAUCCAUCUCGUAUGGAUUAAAGCUUUAUGCGCUUUGGAGGGGCCUGCGUAACAUUAGCUAGUUGGUGAGGUAAAAGCUCACCAAGGCUUCGAUGUUUAACUGGUUUGAGAGGAUGACCAGUCACACUGGGACUGAGAUACGGCCCAGACUCCUACGGGAGGCAGCAGUAAGGAAUCUUCCACAAUGGGGCAACCUGAUGGAGCAAUACCGCGUGCAGGAUGAAGCGUUUCGGCGUGUAAACUGCUUUUAUCACCGAAGAUUAUGACUGUAGGUGAAGAAUAAGGACCGGCUAACUACGUG
Molecule: ribosomal RNA, 340 nt
Filed under: uncultured bacterium
Lineage: Bacteria
Description: bacterial SSU rRNA
Rfam family: Bacterial small subunit ribosomal RNA
Source: RNAcentral